Molecule: long non-coding RNA, 170 nt
Organism: Trichomycterus rosablanca
Lineage: Eukaryota; Metazoa; Chordata; Actinopteri; Siluriformes; Trichomycteridae
Exons: 3
Source: RefSeq, a predicted model, not a curated record
AUGCGUGAAGAACACAGAACUGGAGUUAAGUUUUAGACACAGAGACUGAGGAACAGUAGAGGAGAAGGAGUGAGGCAUGAUUGAGGAAGAGAAUAGAGGUCAGAGCUGUAGGGUCAUGUGAUUGUUCCUGUUCCGCACGGCACGGUGUGUAUUUGUGUGUAUCCUGGAGA